This 2236-nucleotide ribosomal RNA is filed under the name Salmonella enterica. RNAcentral describes it as "partial 23S ribosomal RNA". It matches the Rfam family "Bacterial large subunit ribosomal RNA", at positions 582 to 2803 of the family's 2925-position model. Lineage: Bacteria; Pseudomonadati; Pseudomonadota; Gammaproteobacteria; Enterobacterales; Enterobacteriaceae. The record is from RNAcentral. RNAcentral also lists the same sequence under 1 other name.
CCCUUUGGGUGUGACUGCGUACCUUUUGUAUAAUGGGUCAGCGACUUAUAUUCUGUAGCAAGGUUAACCGAAUAGGGGAGCCGGAGGGAAACCGAGUCUUAAUUGGGCGUUAAGUUGCAGGGUAUAGACCCGAAACCCGGUGAUCUAGCCAUGGGCAGGUUGAAGGUUGGGUAACACUAACUGGAGGACCGAACCGACUAAUGUUGAAAAAUUAGCGGAUGACCUGUGGCUGGGGGUGAAAGGCCAAUCAAACCGGGAGAUAGCUGGUUCUCCCCGAAAGCUAUUUAGGUAGCGCCUCGUGAAUUCAUCUCCGGGGGUAGAGCACUGUUUCGGCUAGGGGGCCAUCCCGGCUUACCAACCCGAUGCAAACUGCGAAUACCGGAGAAUGUUAUCACGGGAGACACACGGCGGGUGCUAACGUCCGUCGUGAAGAGGGAAACAACCCAGACCGCCAGCUAAGGUCCCAAAGUCAUGGUUAAGUGGGAAACGAUGUGGGAAGGCCCAGACAGCCAGGAUGUUGGCUUAGAAGCAGCCAUCAUUUAAAGAAAGCGUAAUAGCUCACUGGUCGAGUCGGCCUGCGCGGAAGAUGUAACGGGGCUAAACCAUGCACCGAAGCUGCGGCAGCGACACUGUGUGUUGUUGGGUAGGGGAGCGUUCUGUAAGCCUGUGAAGGUGUGUCGUGAGGCAUGCUGGAGGUAUCAGAAGUGCGAAUGCUGACAUAAGUAACGAUAAAGCGGGUGAAAAGCCCGCUCGCCGGAAGACCAAGGGUUCCUGUCCAACGUUAAUCGGGGCAGGGUGAGUCGACCCCUAAGGCGAGGCCGAAAGGCGUAGUCGAUGGGAAACGGGUUAAUAUUCCCGUACUUGGUGUUACUGCGAAGGGGGGACGGAGAAGGCUAUGUUGGCCGGGCGACGGUUGUCCCGGUUUAAGCGUGUAGGUGUGUGUUCCAGGUAAAUCCGGUUCACUUUAACACUGAGGCGUGACGACGAGGCACUACGGUGCUGAAGCAACAAAUGCCCUGCUUCCAGGAAAAGCCUCUAAGCAUCAGGUAACAUCAAAUCGUACCCCAAACCGACACAGGUGGUCAGGUAGAGAAUACCAAGGCGCUUGAGAGAACUCGGGUGAAGGAACUAGGCAAAAUGGUGCCGUAACUUCGGGAGAAGGCACGCUGACACGUAGGUGAAGUGAUUUACUCAUGGAGCUGAAGUCAGUCGAAGAUACCAGCUGGCUGCAACUGUUUAUUAAAAACACAGCACUGUGCAAACACGAAAGUGGACGUAUACGGUGUGACGCCUGCCCGGUGCCGGAAGGUUAAUUGAUGGGGUCAGCGCAAGCGAAGCUCCUGAUCGAAGCCCCGGUAAACGGCGGCCGUAACUAUAACGGUCCUAAGGUAGCGAAAUUCCUUGUCGGGUAAGUUCCGACCUGCACGAAUGGCGUAAUGAUGGCCAGGCUGUCUCCACCCGAGACUCAGUGAAAUUGAACUCGCUGUGAAGAUGCAGUGUACCCGCGGCAAGACGGAAAGACCCCGUGAACCUUUACUAUAGCUUGACACUGAACAUUGAGCCUUGAUGUGUAGGAUAGGUGGGAGGCUUUGAAGUGUGGACGCCAGUCUGCAUGGAGCCGACCUUGAAAUACCACCCUUUAAUGUUUGAUGUUCUAACGUGGACCCGUUACCCGGGUUGCGGACAGUGUCUGGUGGGUAGUUUGACUGGGGCGGUCUCCUCCUAAAGAGUAACGGAGGAGCACGAAGGUUGGCUAAUCCUGGUCGGACAUCAGGAGGUUAGUGCAAUGGCAUAAGCCAGCUUGACUGCGAGCGUGACGGCGCGAGCAGGUGCGAAAGCAGGUCAUAGUGAUCCGGUGGUUCUGAAUGGAAGGGCCAUCGCUCAACGGAUAAAAGGUACUCCGGGGAUAACAGGCUGAUACCGCCCAAGAGUUCAUAUCGACGGCGGUGUUUGGCACCUCGAUGUCGGCUCAUCACAUCCUGGGGCUGAAGUAGGUCCCAAGGGUAUGGCUGUUCGCCAUUUAAAGUGGUACGCGAGCUGGGUUUAGAACGUCGUGAGACAGUUCGGUCCCUAUCUGCCGUGGGCGCUGGAGAACUGAGGGGGGCUGCUCCUAGUACGAGAGGACCGGAGUGGACGCAUCACUGGUGUUCGGGUUGUCAUGCCAAUGGCACUGCCCGGUAGCUAAAUGCGGAAGAGAUAAGUGCUGAAAGCAUCUAAGCACGAAACUUGCCCCGAG